This 2070-nucleotide ribosomal RNA is filed under the name Salmonella enterica subsp. enterica serovar Enteritidis. RNAcentral describes it as "partial 23S ribosomal RNA". It matches the Rfam family "Bacterial large subunit ribosomal RNA", at positions 751 to 2802 of the family's 2925-position model. The record is from RNAcentral. Lineage: Bacteria; Pseudomonadati; Pseudomonadota; Gammaproteobacteria; Enterobacterales; Enterobacteriaceae.
GGUGGGUAACACUAACUGGAGGACCGAACCGACUAAUGUUGAAAAAUUAGCGGAUGACCUGUGGCUGGGGGUGAAAGGCCAAUCAAACCGGGAGAUAGCUGGUUCUCCCCGAAAGCUAUUUAGGUAGCGCCUCGUGAAUUCAUCUCCGGGGGUAGAGCACUGUUUCGGCUAGGGGGCCAUCCCGGCUUACCAACCCGAUGCAAACUGCGAAUACCGGAGAAUGUUAUCACGGGAGACACACGGCGGGUGCUAACGUCCGUCGUGAAGAGGGAAACAACCCAGACCGCCAGCUAAGGUCCCAAAGUCAUGGUUAAGUGGGAAACGAUGUGGGAAGGCCCAGACAGCCAGGAUGUUGGCUUAGAAGCAGCCAUCAUUUAAAGAAAGCGUAAUAGCUCACUGGUCGAGUCGGCCUGCGCGGAAGAUGUAACGGGGCUAAACCAUGCACCGAAGCUGCGGCAGCGACACUGUGUGUUGUUGGGUAGGGGAGCGUUCUGUAAGCCUGUGAAGGUGUGUCGUGAGGCAUGCUGGAGGUAUCAGAAGUGCGAAUGCUGACAUAAGUAACGAUAAAGCGGGUGAAAAGCCCGCUCGCCGGAAGACCAAGGGUUCCUGUCCAACGUUAAUCGGGGCAGGGUGAGUCGACCCCUAAGGCGAGGCCGAAAGGCGUAGUCGAUGGGAAACGGGUUAAUAUUCCCGUACUUGGUGUUACUGCGAAGGGGGGACGGAGAAGGCUAUGUUGGCCGGGCGACGGUUGUCCCGGUUUAAGCGUGUAGGUGUGUGUUCCAGGUAAAUCCGGUUCACUUUAACACUGAGGCGUGACGACGAGGCACUACGGUGCUGAAGCAACAAAUGCCCUGCUUCCAGGAAAAGCCUCUAAGCAUCAGGUAACAUCAAAUCGUACCCCAAACCGACACAGGUGGUCAGGUAGAGAAUACCAAGGCGCUUGAGAGAACUCGGGUGAAGGAACUAGGCAAAAUGGUGCCGUAACUUCGGGAGAAGGCACGCUGACACGUAGGUGAAGUGAUUUACUCAUGGAGCUGAAGUCAGUCGAAGAUACCAGCUGGCUGCAACUGUUUAUUAAAAACACAGCACUGUGCAAACACGAAAGUGGACGUAUACGGUGUGACGCCUGCCCGGUGCCGGAAGGUUAAUUGAUGGGGUCAGCGCAAGCGAAGCUCCUGAUCGAAGCCCCGGUAAACGGCGGCCGUAACUAUAACGGUCCUAAGGUAGCGAAAUUCCUUGUCGGGUAAGUUCCGACCUGCACGAAUGGCGUAAUGAUGGCCAGGCUGUCUCCACCCGAGACUCAGUGAAAUUGAACUCGCUGUGAAGAUGCAGUGUACCCGCGGCAAGACGGAAAGACCCCGUGAACCUUUACUAUAGCUUGACACUGAACAUUGAGCCUUGAUGUGUAGGAUAGGUGGGAGGCUUUGAAGUGUGGACGCCAGUCUGCAUGGAGCCGACCUUGAAAUACCACCCUUUAAUGUUUGAUGUUCUAACGUGGACCCGUUACCCGGGUUGCGGACAGUGUCUGGUGGGUAGUUUGACUGGGGCGGUCUCCUCCUAAAGAGUAACGGAGGAGCACGAAGGUUGGCUAAUCCUGGUCGGACAUCAGGAGGUUAGUGCAAUGGCAUAAGCCAGCUUGACUGCGAGCGUGACGGCGCGAGCAGGUGCGAAAGCAGGUCAUAGUGAUCCGGUGGUUCUGAAUGGAAGGGCCAUCGCUCAACGGAUAAAAGGUACUCCGGGGAUAACAGGCUGAUACCGCCCAAGAGUUCAUAUCGACGGCGGUGUUUGGCACCUCGAUGUCGGCUCAUCACAUCCUGGGGCUGAAGUAGGUCCCAAGGGUAUGGCUGUUCGCCAUUUAAAGUGGUACGCGAGCUGGGUUUAGAACGUCGUGAGACAGUUCGGUCCCUAUCUGCCGUGGGCGCUGGAGAACUGAGGGGGGCUGCUCCUAGUACGAGAGGACCGGAGUGGACGCAUCACUGGUGUUCGGGUUGUCAUGCCAAUGGCACUGCCCGGUAGCUAAAUGCGGAAGAGAUAAGUGCUGAAAGCAUCUAAGCACGAAACUUGCCCCGA